This 1159-nucleotide long non-coding RNA is filed under the name Vulpes vulpes (red fox). RNAcentral describes it as "lncRNA (ENSVVUG00000028917.1)". Lineage: Eukaryota; Metazoa; Chordata; Mammalia; Carnivora; Canidae. The record is from RNAcentral.
CUCCUCACAUUUGGAAAAAAAAAAAAAAAAAACCCAGUGCAGGAAGCAAUCCCCUCCAGUUGUCAAUGAGCAGAAUAAACAAAAGGACAAAUCCAUUAGGAAGGUCCUUCCCCACCGCGAUGCCCGGUGCAUAGUAGGUGCUGGGUAAGUAAAUAUUUGUCGACAAGCUGCUAGAUUAUAGGCCCUGGGAUGGCGAGGACAGUGUGCAUGUCUAUUUUAUUCACUAGCGUGCUCCUUCAGCUUAACAUCAUAGCAGGCACGAAAUAGAAGCUCAUUCAUUCAUCCAGCAGCUGCUCUGUGCCGGGAUUACUCGGGGCCCCGUAUAAAUAUUUGUUGUAUUAGCUAGUGCUUUCACACAGACGUGAUUGAAUAAAUAAACGGAUAAAUGACUGGAAAAAAACAAUAAGCCCAUCAACCCACCAGCCAAUAACCAAUUUCAUUUCCCUUUGUUCUAGUUCUAGAACACUAAGCCUUGAGAUGUCUCUCCCUGUACUUCUUCUCACUUGCUUUGCUGGCUCUGAUGAAUCUUCCCAUCUCUGCCUCCCCAAACCGUGAAGUGUCAGUUCGUGUGCCAUUUCGUUGAAUCAUCCCAUCUGGCAAACGGGCUCCCCAAGUGGUCGUGUCUCCCCAGCUAGACACCGGACGCCAGCAGCCCUGGCCUGGAGCAAGGCCCCCCAGCGGCAGAGGCCGCCUGUCAACUCCUGAGCAGGCGGAGGCGCGGAGCCCUUCUGCGGGCAGCUCCCUUGCAAGAAGAAGGAGAAAGCAGGGGCUGGUUUUGGGGGCUCAGUUCUUUGUCCUGGACUCACCAGGCAAACAGAUCAGUCCUACCAGAGGCAGGGGGUGGAGACAGACACCAGUGGAGGAGAUUAUGGAGGAAAUGGGCUCCGAGGGCCAUGCCCAGGAUCCAGAUUCUGUGUCUGUAUGGAGAUGAUGAGCAUUAAGCCACGGCUGGCAGCAGAGACAAUAUGUCAAAGAGCACAUGACCCUGCGUGCAGUUAAGUAGAGUCCUUUGUACUUGGCGGAACCCUCGGAGGCAGAGGACGCCGUCCCAGAUUAAGGAGGUUUCUCAAUGGCUGAUGAUUUGUCCUUUUUAGAGACGGCAUCUUUUAAAACGGUAACCUCUGGGGAUGGACAUUUUUCUGGGAGGUACUUACUACAG